Molecule: ribosomal RNA, 408 nt
Filed under: uncultured bacterium
Lineage: Bacteria
Description: bacterial SSU rRNA
Rfam family: Bacterial small subunit ribosomal RNA
Source: RNAcentral
UGGGGAAUCUUGCGCAAUGGGCGAAAGCCUGACGCAGCGACGCCGCGUGAGGGAUGAAGGCCCUCGGGUUGUAAACCUCUUUCGGCAGGGAAGAAGCGAAAGUGACGGUACCUGCAGAAGAAGCCCCGGCUAACUACGUGCCAGCAGCCGCGGUAAGACGUAGGGGGCGAGCGUUGUCCGGAUUUAUUGGGCGUAAAGAGCGCGUAGGCGGUUCGGAAAGUCGGAUGUGAAAACCCAGGGCUCAACCCCGGGCCUGCAUCCGAUACUCCCGAGCUGGAGGCAGACAGGGGAGAGUGGAAUUCCUGGUGUAGCGGUGAAAUGCGCAGAUAUCAGGAGGAACACCGGUGGCGAAGGCGGCUCUCUGGGUCUGUCCUGACGCUGAGGCGCGAAAGCUAGGGGAGCAAACAG